UGACAGUACUCUACGGGGAGGCAGCAGUGGGGAAUAUUGCACAAUGGGGGAAACCCUGAUGCAGCCAUGCCGCGUGUGUGAAGAAGGCCUUCGGGUUGUAAAGCACUUUCAGUAGGAGGAAGGUAGUGUAGUUAACACCUGCAUUAUUUGACGUUACCUACAGAAGAAGCACCGGCUAACUCCGUGCCAGCAGCCGCGGUAAUACGGAGGGUGCGAGCGUUAAUCGGAAUUACUGGGCGUAAAGCGCAUGCAGGCGGCCUGUUAAGUCAGAUGUGAAAGCCCGGGGCUUAACCUCGGAAUUGCAUUUGAAACUGGCAGGCUAGAGUCUUGUAGAGGGGGGUAGGAAUUUCAGGUGUAGCGGUGAAAUGCGUAGAGAUCUGAAGGAAUACCAGUGGCGAAGGCGGCCCCCUGGACAAAGACUGACGCUCAGAUGCGAAAGCGUGGGGAGCAAACAGGAUUAGAUACCCUGGUAG
This 473-nucleotide ribosomal RNA is filed under the name uncultured bacterium. Its description in RNAcentral is "bacterial SSU rRNA". It matches the Rfam family "Bacterial small subunit ribosomal RNA", at positions 328 to 793 of the family's 1533-position model. The record is from RNAcentral.